UAAAUGCAAGUUUUGAGAUGAUAAUGAUAGAUGCAGGCCGUUGUUGACGAUAACAGGAUAGGUUGUUAUUGUGUUGGUGCUCUUGUGUUUGAUUUGCAGAUUUGCUGUAUUGAGAUUGACAGAAGCAAGGAGUAAUUGGUCAUGCUCGGUUUCAAGAAAUGAAGGAGUUGAGUGAUUGUUGGUUAAUCUGGUUGCUCAGGGAGUAAAUGGGCAGCACAUAUUUCAUUCAAGCUGGGUAUUUUAAAUGAUCUAGAAACGUUAAGUUCAUGUUGUGAACUUGUGGAAGUUAGUGAUGAGAAGUCAUUGAUUGAAGUUAAUUAAGGAGAGGAUGGUGUUGAUAGUGGUAUGUUUCUGUUGACAAUUGUUAAUGAUAACAGGAUUGUAUGUUGUCAUAUGGUUGUGAUUUGAGUUGAUAAUAAGGAAAGGAACAAUUGGAGUAUAUGGCUAUUGGAUUUCAAGACAUAGAAGUAUGGUAAAUGUGGAUUAGUACUUGAAAUCAGUUCAAGACUUUGAAGGCUAGAAUCGAAGAAUGCAAUUGUGUGAAAAUAUGAUUUGGGUGUCCUUAGUAAAUUUCAAGGACUUGAUUGUUUCUAAUUAAAGUGUUUGCCGACUUCCUUGGAACAAGGCGAUAUGAGGAUCAAAUGCAAGUAGCAGGAUUCCAGAAGCAGAAGGAUAAGGAUUUCAGAAAGCAAGUCGUUGAGUUACUAAUUUUAGCUGACGUCAAAACUAACGCUUUGGAUUCCAGUUUCUUUUACUUUUUCCGCUCACGUCUCGGGUUCGGCGUCAGGUGCUUAGAAACCACCGACACCGGAUCCGGGGUGUGACAUUACCAGGGUAUCCCUCGGCAGUUUCGGAAGAUGGUGAUGUGGACGGACUUGGGUUGCUGGUUGCGACAUCUGUAGUGGUGCUUCUAGUCUGGAG
Molecule: RNA transcript, 921 nt
Organism: Fragaria vesca subsp. vesca
Lineage: Eukaryota; Viridiplantae; Streptophyta; Magnoliopsida; Rosales; Rosaceae
Exons: 2
Source: RefSeq, a predicted model, not a curated record